This 253-nucleotide ribosomal RNA is filed under the name uncultured bacterium. Its description in RNAcentral is "partial 16S ribosomal RNA". It matches the Rfam family "Bacterial small subunit ribosomal RNA", at positions 524 to 776 of the family's 1533-position model. The record is from RNAcentral.
UACGUAGGGGGCAAGCGUUGUCCGGAAUCAUUGGGCGUAAAGAGCGUGUAGGCGGUUCGGUAAGUCGGCUGUGAAAGUCCAGGGCUCAACCCUGGGAUGCCGGUCGAUACUGCCGGACUAGAGUUCGGAAGAGGCGAGUGGAAUUCCCGGUGUAGCGGUGAAAUGCGCAGAUAUCGGGAGGAACAUCUAUGGCGAAGGCAGCUCGCUGGGACGUUACUGACGCUGAGACGCGAAAGCGUGGGGAGCAAACAGG